This 369-nucleotide ribosomal RNA is filed under the name uncultured phototrophic eukaryote. RNAcentral describes it as "SSU rRNA". It matches the Rfam family "Bacterial small subunit ribosomal RNA", at positions 524 to 896 of the family's 1533-position model. The record is from RNAcentral.
UACGGAAGGUGCAAGCGUUAAUCGGAAUCAUUGGGCGUAAAGCGCCUGUAGGUUGUUUAAUAAGUCUGUUGUUAAAGACUGGGGCUUAACCCCAGGAAAGCAAUGGAAACUACUAGACUAGAGUAUGGUAGGGGUAAAGGGAAUUUCUAGUGUAGCGGUGAAAUGCGUAGAUAUUAGAAAGAACACCGGUGGCGAAAGCGCUUUACUGGACCAUUACUGACACUCAGAGGCGAAAGCUAGGGUAGCCAAAGGGAUUAGAUACCCCUGUAGUCCUAGCCGUAAACGAUGGAUACUAGAUGUUGCGCUUAUUGUGCAGUGUCGUAGCUAACGCGUUAAGUAUCCCGCCUGGGGAGUACGAUCGCAAGGUUG